UGAACCAAUGAAAAGAAUCUCUCAUGAACCAAGGAUUAGAGUUAAUUUAAUUAUGUGCAUCUGAGUUUCAAA
RNAcentral lists this small nucleolar RNA (72 nucleotides) under Loxodonta africana (African savanna elephant). RNAcentral describes it as "Small nucleolar RNA SNORD112 (ENSLAFG00000033114.1)". The record is from RNAcentral. Lineage: Eukaryota; Metazoa; Chordata; Mammalia; Proboscidea; Elephantidae.